This 348-nucleotide unclassified non-coding RNA is filed under the name soil metagenome. RNAcentral's name for it is "partial contains 5.8S ribosomal RNA, internal transcribed spacer 2, and large subunit ribosomal RNA". The stretch from base 1 to 120 matches the Rfam family "5.8S ribosomal RNA", at positions 35 to 154 of the family's 154-position model. The record is from RNAcentral.
GAUGAAGAACGCAGCGAAAUGCGAAAAGUAAUGUGAAUUGCAGAAUUCAGUGAAUCAUCGAAUCUUUGAACGCACAUUGCGCCCGCCAGUAUUCUGGCGGGCAUGCCUGUCUGAGCGUCAUUUCAACCCUCAUGCCCCUUGGGCGUGGUGUUGGGGAUCGGCCAGCGCCCGCGAGGGACGGCCGGCCCCUAAAUCUAGUGGCGGACCCGUCGUGGCCUCCCCUGCGAAGUAGUGAUAUUCCGCAUAGGAGAGCGACGAGCCCCUGCCGUUAAACCCCCAACUUUCUAAGGUUGACCUCAGAUCAGGUAGGAAUACCCGCUGAACUUAAGCAUAUCAAUAAGCGGAGGA